UAUAUUUUAGUGUAAGAAGCACAAUAAUUUUUGAUGUUAUUAGAUGUAGUUUAAUUCUAUAAAAUAUAA
This 69-nucleotide transfer RNA is filed under the name Nyctemera arctata albofasciata. RNAcentral describes it as "tRNA-Gln". Lineage: Eukaryota; Metazoa; Arthropoda; Insecta; Lepidoptera; Erebidae. The record is from RNAcentral.